CUUUAUCCUAUAUACCCUCUUAUAUGUGUUGCUGCUGCAGCUGUCAUCGAUAGCCUUCCUGACUUUUUUUUAUGAGCGGUAUAGAACCGAACAAUCUCUGCUCUACAAAAUGGCUAAAUACGUGAGACCGUUGCUUAUUGGCCUCAUUCUAUGCGUUUCUCACUCUAGGACGUUCUCUAUCAUAAAUGGUUAUGCUGCUCCUUUAGAGAUUUACAAGCACUUUGAACAUCAUUAUGAUGCAGGAUCAGGUGCAGUGGUGUGUGUGGGAAGUGAGUGGCACCGGUUCCCAUCAUCGUUCUUUAUUCCAGAC
Cynara cardunculus var. scolymus (artichoke) is the source of this 310-nucleotide long non-coding RNA. RefSeq lists it as uncharacterized. The record is from RefSeq and is a predicted model, not a curated record. Lineage: Eukaryota; Viridiplantae; Streptophyta; Magnoliopsida; Asterales; Asteraceae. The transcript is spliced from 3 exons.